This 484-nucleotide ribosomal RNA is filed under the name uncultured bacterium. Its description in RNAcentral is "partial 16S ribosomal RNA". It matches the Rfam family "Bacterial small subunit ribosomal RNA", at positions 30 to 507 of the family's 1533-position model. The record is from RNAcentral.
AUUGAACGCUGGCGGCAGGCCUAACACAUGCAAGUCGAGCGGAUGAAGGGAGCUUGCUCCUGGAUUCAGCGGCGGACGGGUGAGUAAUGCCUAGGAAUCUGCCUGGUAGUGGGGGAUAACGUCCGUAAACGGGCGCUAAUACCGCAUACGUCCUGAGGGAGAAAGUGGGGGAUCUUCGGACCUCACGCUAUCAGAUGAGCCUAGGUCGGAUUAGCUAGUUGGUGGGGUAAAGGCCUACCAAGGCGACGAUCCGUAACUGGUCUGAGAGGAUGAUCAGUCACACUGGAACUGAGACACGGUCCAGACUCCGACGGGGGGCAGCAGUGGGGACUAUUGGACAAUGGGCGAAAGCCUGAUCCAGCCAUGCCGGGUGUGUGAAGAAGGUCUUCGGAUUGUAAAGCACUUUAAGUUGGGAGGACGGGAAGUAAGUUAAUACCUUGCUGUUUUGACGUUACCAACAGAAUAAGCACCGGCUAACUUCGUG